UUCUUAUUCAAAUUGAUACUAAUUCACAAUAAUUACUGUGUAUAUUAGCAAUGCCGACACAUGUAUAAAUAUACUAUGAUAGUAACAUUUGUUUAUAGUCGUUACAGUUUAAUUCACAAGUGGCUAAGUAGGCAGCAGAACAGUUAUUUCUGGAACAACCAGGAUAUCCGGAACGAGAGAAUAACAACUUUUGAAGAUAGUUUAUCGCACGUAACAUACUUACUACCUACUCGGAUACUCCAUUGAAUUCCUGUAAUUGUAAUACAUGAACGGACAUUAAAGCAGAACGCAAUAGGAUGUAUACAAGGAAGCAGACUGAACUCAUAAAUAUAAAAGAUGAAUCACUUAUCCUCAGAAAUGAUGUACCGCAUAUUUUCACAAAGUCUACUAUGUCUUGAACUAAAAAGUUCUUAAUAUGCAUUGGGAAAUAGAUAAAGAAAAAUAGGUAACACCGUGAAAUACAAUAUCAAUAUACCUGCGAAUAGAUCAGUACUUUAUAAUGGAGUUAAUAAAUCCUUGCAAUUACCAAACUUAAUAAGACAUCACUGAUACAUCUUCAGCUCAGAUUAAAUUGAUACGUUACUAAGCUUUGUUUCUGAUGACAUUGUGAGAUGGUGUUGAUAAAUAAAAUAGUAAUUUGGUGAUGUGAACACGUUUAAUGGUACCCAUAAAAAUAAAAGCAAAUGUUAUAAAAUAUAUUUUUCACCGGCUCAGAUGGCUGUUAUUUUAAAUAAUAGCAUUAUUAUUUCAUAAAAUUUUCCCCAGUCACCAUUUAAUGUCUUAUGUCAUGGAGUAUGAAUGUUAUCAUUUCGAAUGCGCUAUUUUCUGGGAAAUUUGUAGAAGGAUUCAUUUAUAUUUCCGUGAUAAAUAUUUACACUGUUAAUUAUAAAGGGAAAAUGUUUCUUUGUUAAUAAACCAUAGCUUUGUAAAUGGACACUGGUCAUAUUAUUUAUUAGUAUUGAACGAAUCAAUACACAAUACCAGACUUUUUGUUUAGGUCCAUUAAUAUGUUAAAUACCUAAUAAUAUAACAAAUUUUCAUAAUUUAUGGUAUUUCGGCAAUUUCUUUAAUGUGCCCUCAAAAUUUUACUAUCGUUACCAGCAUAAAAGUUUCAUUACAAAAAAAAAACUUCAGUUUCAAAUAAUAAUUGGUUAAAUUUUAGAGUAAUAAAUGUCACAUGUAUAAUUUACUUUUUCUUCAGGUCAUUUGCGCUCUCCCCUUGCCAAUGGCGUGUGACGUUUGUUAUUCGUGACUAUUCUUUAAGUGUAAAUAUAUCACUUCAUUGAACAAACAUCACUGAUGCGAAUAUAUGUGAAUGUUUACUUAGUUCAUAUUUUAGGUCCAAAAACAAAACUGUGAAGCAGUCCUGUUGAUAUUCCCUCACUUAUGGAAGAUUUAUCAUAAGUAGGUGUAUCUAAUCUUAUAUUUGUCUAUGCAUAUAGAUGUAAGUACAUAUUUAAUUAUACUUGGGUUGAGUCUGGCCUACAUAAGAAGUUAAGCUUACAUAGAUUGAGCACUAGGUAUUCACUAGGCAAGUACCUAGUAAAAAAUAAAUGUAUGAUUACUUGUAACGUAGCAAUGGUUUAUGAGUUUACAGUUUACAAACAAUCAGUAAUUAGAGAUAGAGGCGUGGUUCCACUUAACAUUGACGCUUUGAUAAUGUAAUUUGCAGACCUCGUGUUGGCAUUCAGCGUUAGUAUUUACACAUAAAACCGCGCACCUGCGGUGGUGUUGGA
This is a long non-coding RNA of Manduca sexta (tobacco hornworm), 1736 nucleotides long. RefSeq lists it as uncharacterized. NCBI's taxonomy places the organism in Eukaryota, Metazoa, Arthropoda, Insecta, Lepidoptera, Sphingidae. The transcript has 4 exons. The record is from RefSeq and is a predicted model, not a curated record.